GGCUGGAGAUGUGGCUGAGUGGUAGAGUGCUUGCCUGGCAUGUAAGAGGCCCUGGGUUCAAUCCCCAGCAUGGCCA
Non-coding RNA from Sciurus carolinensis (gray squirrel), 76 nucleotides. Lineage: Eukaryota; Metazoa; Chordata; Mammalia; Rodentia; Sciuridae. The record is from the annotation of a RefSeq genome assembly.